Molecule: ribosomal RNA, 425 nt
Filed under: uncultured bacterium
Lineage: Bacteria
Description: partial 16S ribosomal RNA
Rfam family: Bacterial small subunit ribosomal RNA
Source: RNAcentral
GUGGGGAAUUUUGGACAAUGGGCGCAAGCCUGAUCCAGCCAUGCCGCGUGAGUGAUGAAGGCCUUCGGGUUGUAAAGCUCUUUAGCCGAUGAUUAUAAUGACUGUAGUCGGAAAAUAAGCCCCGGCUAACUUCGUGCCAGCAGCCGCGGUAAUACGAAGGGGGCGAGCGUUAUUCGGAAUCACUGGGCGUAAAGCGUGCGUAGGCGGCUUUGCAAGUUGGGAGUGAAAGCCCAGGGCUCAACCCUGGAAUUGCUCUCAAAACUGCAAGGCUCGAAUUCGGGAGAGGAUAGCGGAAUUGUCAGUGUAGCAGUGAAAUGCGUAGAUAUUGACAGGAACACCAGUGGCGUAAGCGGCUAUCUGGACCGAUAUUGACGCUGAGGCACGAAAGCGUGGGGAUCAAACAGGAUUAGAAACCCGUGUAGUCC